Molecule: ribosomal RNA, 78 nt
Filed under: Sorex araneus (European shrew)
Lineage: Eukaryota; Metazoa; Chordata; Mammalia; Eulipotyphla; Soricidae
Source: RNAcentral
AUGUACUCCAAGUACCAAGGUUGGGCCUGAUUAGUACUUGGAUGGGAGACCUACUGGGAAUACUGGGUGCUGUAGAUG